AUUUAGUUGGCAGAAUAGUGCUUUAAAUUUAGAAUUUAAUAAGACAAUUUUUAUUGUACUAAAUA
This 65-nucleotide transfer RNA is filed under the name Ujna puerana. Its description in RNAcentral is "tRNA-Leu". The record is from RNAcentral. Lineage: Eukaryota; Metazoa; Arthropoda; Insecta; Hemiptera; Cicadellidae.